RNAcentral lists this ribosomal RNA (1631 nucleotides) under Curvularia clavata. RNAcentral's name for it is "SSU rRNA". It matches the Rfam family "Bacterial small subunit ribosomal RNA". The record is from RNAcentral. Lineage: Eukaryota; Fungi; Ascomycota; Dothideomycetes; Pleosporales; Pleosporaceae.
UUUUAUUUGAGUUUGAUGAUGGCUCUGAGUGAACGCUAUGUAAAUGCUUGACACAUGCUAAUCGAACGUCAAUAUUUAAUUUGUAUAAAUUAUGUAUAUUGAAGUGGUGUACAGGUGAGUAAGAGGUAUUAUGGCUACCUAAGAGUAAGGCAAAAUAAAUCCCUUAUAAUAACCAUUUAUUAUUAGUGAUUAACACUAUAUCUAAUCACCCAGUGGUCGAUUAUAUUGAAAAGUUUAGAUAUAAAGGUUAAUAAUAUUAAUAAUAAAUGUGUUUAAAAGAAAUAGUAUUUCGCUCUUAGUUGAUUAUUAAUAACCAUCGGAUAAGUAGUAAGUAUGGUAAUGGCAUAUUUAGCUUGUGUCCGUAGUCAAGACUGAGAGGUCUAUUGACCACACUGGGUCUGAAAAAACCCCAGUGCGUGUAGUACAGCAGUGAGGAAUUUUGGUCAAUGGCCUAACGGCUGAACCAGCAACUUGCAGGAAUGAGAGUUAAUAUAAUAAGUUUAUUAACUUGCUUGACUAGGUCUUAUAAAGUUCUGGAUAAAGCUUAUUAUGAAAACUUUAUAUCCAUAGGUCUCGACCAAAUCUUGUGCCAGCAGUCGCGGUAAGACAAGGGAGACGAGUGUUAUUCAUCUUUAACAGGUAUAUAGGGUACCUAGACGGUGUGCAAUGGCUUAAAUAAGUACCUGGUACACUUGAGUUUGAUAUGUGAGAGGAAUAUGUCGGAAUUGUUGGAGGAAAGAUGAAAUUUGUUAAUACCAAUAGGACUGAUAACGGCGAAGGCAAACCUCUAUGUACAUGUACUUGCUAUCUCUAAAUUAGAGAGGAAAACAGCAAUGUGCUAUAACUGACGUUGAGGGACGAAGGCUCAGAGAGUGAAGAGGAUUAGAUACCCCCGUAACCUGGGCAGACAAUGAUGAGUGCCAUAGGUUGGCUUUAAGGCGGAACUAUAAAUGAAAGUGGAAGCACUCCACCUCAAGAGUAAUGUGGCAACGCAGGAACUGAAAUCAUUAGACCGUUUCUGAAACCAGUAGUGAAGUAUGUUAUUUAAUUCGAUGAUCCGCGAAUAACCUUACCACAAUUUGAAUGACCUAAAAUAUUUUUUUUUGAAUUUUUAGACCACAUGCGUUGCAUGGCUGUCUUCAGUUAAUGUCGUGAGAUUUGGUUAGGUCCAUUAAAUUAACGUAAACCCUUGUUUUAUUUAUUAUAAUAAAGCAGCUCUCCGCUUACAAUUGGAUGUGAUAAUAGGGACUAAGACAAGUCAUCAUGGCCUUAAUAUUGUGGGCUAUAGACGUGCCACAUGUGCCUUUACAAAGGGAUGCAAUAAUGCGAAUUGGAGCUAAUCCCUAAAAUAGGAUAAAGUAUGGAUUGUAGUCUGAAAUUCGACUGCAUGAAAAAGGAAUUACUAGUAAUCGUGAGUAAUCACAUCACGGUGAAUUUUAUCUCAGAUAGGUACUAACCACUCGUCAGGCGCUGAAAGGAGUAUGUGCAAUAAGUUUGGUGGCUGCGGAUUGCUAGUCUAAAUGUACAGGUUUAGAUCUUUUGGCAGAAAUAUCUUCGUAUGCGUGACUCUAAUUGGUGUUAAGUCGAAAUACGGUUCGGGUUGGGGAACUAGCCCGGGAUUAAUGAAUAUU